RNAcentral lists this ribosomal RNA (1329 nucleotides) under Lactiplantibacillus plantarum. RNAcentral describes it as "bacterial SSU rRNA". It matches the Rfam family "Bacterial small subunit ribosomal RNA", at positions 105 to 1421 of the family's 1533-position model. The record is from RNAcentral. Lineage: Bacteria; Bacillati; Bacillota; Bacilli; Lactobacillales; Lactobacillaceae.
GGUGAGUAACACGUGGGAAACCUGCCCAGAAGCGGGGGAUAACACCUGGAAACAGAUGCUAAUACCGCAUAACAACUUGGACCGCAUGGUCCGAGCUUGAAAGAUGGCUUCGGCUAUCACUUUUGGAUGGUCCCGCGGCGUAUUAGCUAGAUGGUGGGGUAACGGCUCACCAUGGCAAUGAUACGUAGCCGACCUGAGAGGGUAAUCGGCCACAUUGGGACUGAGACACGGCCCAAACUCCUACGGGAGGCAGCAGUAGGGAAUCUUCCACAAUGGACGAAAGUCUGAUGGAGCAACGCCGCGUGAGUGAAGAAGGGUUUCGGCUCGUAAAACUCUGUUGUUAAAGAAGAACAUAUCUGAGAGUAACUGUUCAGGUAUUGACGGUAUUUAACCAGAAAGCCACGGCUAACUACGUGCCAGCAGCCGCGGUAAUACGUAGGUGGCAAGCGUUGUCCGGAUUUAUUGGGCGUAAAGCGAGCGCAGGCGGUUUUUUAAGUCUGAUGUGAAAGCCUUCGGCUCAACCGAAGAAGUGCAUCGGAAACUGGAAAACUUGAGUGCAGAAGAGGACAGUGGAACUCCAUGUGUAGCGGUGAAAUGCGUAGAUAUAUGGAAGAACACCAGUGGCGAAGGCGGCUGUCUGGUCUGUAACUGACGCUGAGGCUCGAAAGUAUGGGUAGCAAACAGGAUUAGAUACCCUGGUAGUCCAUACCGUAAACGAUGAAUGCUAAGUGUUGGAGGGUUUCCGCCCUUCAGUGCUGCAGCUAACGCAUUAAGCAUUCCGCCUGGGGAGUACGGCCGCAAGGCUGAAACUCAAAGGAAUUGACGGGGGCCCGCACAAGCGGUGGAGCAUGUGGUUUAAUUCGAAGCUACGCGAAGAACCUUACCAGGUCUUGACAUACUAUGCAAAUCUAAGAGAUUAGACGUUCCCUUCGGGGACAUGGAUACAGGUGGUGCAUGGUUGUCGUCAGCUCGUGUCGUGAGAUGUUGGGUUAAGUCCCGCAACGAGCGCAACCCUUAUUAUCAGUUGCCAGCAUUAAGUUGGGCACUCUGGUGAGACUGCCGGUGACAAACCGGAGGAAGGUGGGGAUGACGUCAAAUCAUCAUGCCCCUUAUGACCUGGGCUACACACGUGCUACAAUGGAUGGUACAACGAGUUGCGAACUCGCGAGAGUAAGCUAAUCUCUUAAAGCCAUUCUCAGUUCGGAUUGUAGGCUGCAACUCGCCUACAUGAAGUCGGAAUCGCUAGUAAUCGCGGAUCAGCAUGCCGCGGUGAAUACGUUCCCGGGCCUUGUACACACCGCCCGUCACACCAUGAGAGUUUGUAACACC